This 498-nucleotide ribosomal RNA is filed under the name uncultured bacterium. Its description in RNAcentral is "partial 16S ribosomal RNA". It matches the Rfam family "Bacterial small subunit ribosomal RNA", at positions 28 to 507 of the family's 1533-position model. The record is from RNAcentral.
GACGAACGCUGGCGGCGUGCCUAAUACAUGCAAGUCGAACGAGAGCGACCGGUGCUUGCACUGGUCAAUCUAGUGGCGAACGGGUGAGUAACACGUGGGUAACCUGCCCAUCAGAGGGGGAUAACAUCCGGAAACGGAUGCUAAAACCGCAUAGGUCUUCGAGCCGCAUGGCUUGAAGAGGAAAAGAGGCGCAAGCUUCUGCUGAUGGAUGGACCCGCGGUGCAUUAGCUAGUUGGUGAGGUAACGGCUCACCAAGGCCGUGAUGCAUAGCCGACCUGAGAGGGUGAUCGGCCACAUGGGGACUGAGACACGGCACAAACUCCUACGGGAGGCAGCAGUAGGGAAUCUUCCGCAAUGGACGCAAGUCUGACGAAGCAACGCCGCGUGAGUGAAGAAGGUUUUCGGAUCGUAAAACUCUGUUGUUAGAGAAGAACAAGUGCUAGAGUAACUGUUAGCGCCUUGACGGUAUCUAACCAGAAAGCCACGGCUAACUACGUG